RNAcentral lists this ribosomal RNA (372 nucleotides) under uncultured organism. Its description in RNAcentral is "bacterial SSU rRNA". It matches the Rfam family "Bacterial small subunit ribosomal RNA", at positions 527 to 896 of the family's 1533-position model. The record is from RNAcentral.
CGGGGGGGCAAGCGUUGUUCGGAAUUACUGGGCGUAAAGGGCGCGUAGGCGGUUCGCUAAGUUGGAUGUGAAAACUCUGGGCUCAACCCAGAGCCUGCAUCCAAAAACUGGCGGGCUAGAGUUCUGGAGGGGGUAGCGGAAUUCCUGGUGUAGCGGUGAAAUGCGUAGAUAUCAGGAGGAACACCGGUGGCGAAGGCGGCUACCUGGACAGAAACUGACGCUGAGGCGCGAAAGCUAGGGGAGCAAACAGGAUUAGAUACCCUGGUAGUCCUAGCCCUAAACGAUGGAUACUUGGUGUGACUGGGAUUGAAUCCAGUCGUGCCGAAGCUAACGCAUUAAGUAUCCCGCCUGGGGAGUACGGUCGCAAGGCUG